AAAAUGCGAUAAGUAAUGUGAAUUGCAGAAUUCAGUGAAUCAUCGAAUCUUUGAACGCACAUUGCGCCCGCCAGUAUUCUGGCGGGCAUGCCUGUUCGAGCGUCAUUUCAACCCUCAAGCCCCCGGGUUUGGUGUUGGGGAUCGGGCUGCGGUUCUGCCGCGGCCCGGCCCCGAAAUCUAGUGGCGGUCUCGCUGCAGCCUCCAUUGCGUAGUAGCUAACACCUCGCAACUGGAACGCGGCGCGGCCAAGCCGUUAAACCCCCAACUUCUGAAUGUUGACCUCGGAUCAGGUAGGAAUACCGCUGAACUUAAGC
RNAcentral lists this unclassified non-coding RNA (314 nucleotides) under plant metagenome. RNAcentral describes it as "partial contains 5.8S ribosomal RNA, internal transcribed spacer 2, and large subunit ribosomal RNA". The stretch from base 1 to 105 matches the Rfam family "5.8S ribosomal RNA", at positions 50 to 154 of the family's 154-position model. The record is from RNAcentral.